This is a ribosomal RNA of Zymoseptoria brevis, 96 nucleotides long. The record is from Rfam. Lineage: Eukaryota; Fungi; Ascomycota; Dothideomycetes; Mycosphaerellales; Mycosphaerellaceae.
AAAUCGGCUUCCCGUCCGAUCAGCCAUGAUAAUCAUCUAAUCGCUACACUAGUACUCAAGUUGGUGACAAUUGGGGAAUCCGUAGUGUUGUAUGUU